Molecule: ribosomal RNA, 492 nt
Filed under: uncultured bacterium
Lineage: Bacteria
Description: partial 16S ribosomal RNA
Rfam family: Bacterial small subunit ribosomal RNA
Source: RNAcentral
AGUGAACGCUGGCGGUAGGCCUAACACAUGCAAGUCGAACGGCAGCACAGUAAGAGCUUGCUCUUACGGGUGGCGAGUGGCGGACGGGUGAGGAAUACAUCGGAAUCUACUUUUUCGUGGGGGAUAACGUAGGGAAACUUACGCUAAUACCGCAUACGACCUACGGGUGAAAGCAGGGGAUCUUCGGACCUUGCGCGAUUGAAUGAGCCGAUGUCGGAUUAGCUAGUUGGCGGGGUAAAGGCCCACCAAGGCGACGAUCCGUAGCUGGUCUGAGAGGAUGAUCAGCCACACUGGAACUGAGACACGGUCCAGACUCCUACGGGAGGCAGCAGUGGGGAAUAUUGGACAAUGGGCGCAAGCCUGAUCCAGCCAUACCGCGUGGGUGAAGAAGGCCUUCGGGUUGUAAAGCCCUUUUGUUGGGAAAGAAAAGCAGCAGGUUAAUACCCCGCUGUUCUGACUGUACCCAAAGAAUAAGCACCGGCUAACUUCGUG